This 2019-nucleotide long non-coding RNA is filed under the name Homo sapiens (human). RNAcentral's name for it is "HSALNT0303136". Lineage: Eukaryota; Metazoa; Chordata; Mammalia; Primates; Hominidae. The record is from RNAcentral.
UCAAGGAGGCAGCCAUUAGUGAUUCGAUGCAGGCCUCCAAGCUUUAGAAAUGAGUUGAUAUCUGGAAGUGCUCCCACAACUGAAGGCUUCACUGCUGUCCUGUAUUCUGUGUUAGGUUUGGUGAUUGCCUGAUCUGUUUCUUGGGAGUUAUUUUUCAUGGCUAAGAGGAGAAAGAUGAUAAAAAAAAAAAACAAUACGCAAAGAAGAUGCCGCAACUUUUAAAGGAAGAAAAGCUCAACUCAGCUGUACUUCUCACCACGUGGCAAAGGAUGGACCAAAGGCUGGGAGCAACUGGGAGUGUCUGGGACUGUGCCCCAAGGAAGCCACACAAACUGUGUAGCCAGACAGUCUGUCUGGGAGGAGAAGGAAGGAAUUUAUCUACCAGCUCCCAUCUCUCAUGGACCAAAUUCUUCCCCACUGUACAUAACUCCAUAUCACUUUCAGAUUGCAUAAGUUGUCUGCUGUUCUUUCGGGAGAGGGCUUGAAGGUUGAUUUUAGUUCCCUGUAACUGGAGGUGACAUGUGAAAGCUCAAAGCUAUUGAAAAGUUGCAAAGGCUUCCACACACAACUGCAGUAGGGAGGGCGCAGGAAGUGGGUCAACGCUUUUGGAGGACUGGGUGAAGUUCAGGAUCCUGAGGCCCUACUUUUUGGUCGCCCAGGGUGAGAGCUGAAUGUAGGCUCCAACAGGAAGACGGCAUUGAAGCCUGGUUGCUUGUUACUACUCAGAAUGCCAUCUACAAAAGGAAAUUAUGUAAAAAGCAAUAAAGAACCCCUUUUGUUCUUGCAGGAGUCAGUGUUUCAUAACUCUUUCUGUGAUAUCGUCUGUAUAAGUUGAACCUCUAAAGAACCUUAUCUAAGUUGCCACGACCUUACUCAUUACCCUCAAGAAAGAUGAACAAUUUAAAGGGGGAAAAAAGGAAGUGAAAAAAAUGGCGGAUACGAGGCAGAACUAACCUGCAGCUUCCACUCGAAGGGACAGAGCAGAGUGUGGAGACCCACAACUGGAACUUUUUCUCCAAGAACUACCACAGGAACAUACCAAGAAAGCCAAGAGAAUCCACAGAACCUUUGGAGGAAGUGGUUUGUCACUGCAGGCUCUGUGGGACAGCUGAGGAACUGCCAGCGUCCUCUUUCCUGUGUUGGUCACAUCCUCAAAUGCCUUUGGGGCUGGAUGAACAGUCGGCUUGUGGGUUUUCAUGGUGAUUUCAACUAAUAUGUGGAAGGGAAGGAGGGGAAGAGGAAAGACUCGGUGAUGGCUACAGCAGGCAAACCAUAUGCCACCGCAUGGGCCUGAGGACAAUCUCGGACGUCUUGCAAACAAUCACCCACACAAGUGUCCUGAUGAGUGGCGACCUUCUCAGCGAGGACUGACAACCACACGGGUUCCUACUUCAUGACCAGACCAGGGUCACCAUGGAGACAUUUCUCAUUGGAUCAGCUUAUUAUGCCAUAGGAAACAUCUGAUUGAAAUGGAACUCACUGACCUAAAGCUCCUAAAAAAAAAUUUUCUAGGUCAGUGACAGACAAGUUGGCUGCUUCAAAAAAGCCAUGUAAAUGAGCUGAAGUCUGCACAGGUGGAGCCCAUUAGAGUGAAUGAUUUCCCUCUCAUGUUGUUAUCUUCAUUUGCCGUUGUCUUAUCAACUCCAAGUAGGAAAUCCGCUGUCAUGAAAAGCAGGUCCUGAAAACUCAAGACAAUGGAACAAUGCCAAGCAGUAAGAUAUGGAUACAAUGAGUAAAAUCUAAAGAUUGGUUCCUUUAAGACAAAGGGAUCAACAUGUAAUAACUUGGAAAUAUAUAGCAAAGAGAGAGCCAAAGACGUCUUCUAGCCCUGCACUUUGCCUCCUACUAGAACCAGUGGGAAGAUGCUCCAGGAAGUUAGCAGAGUCAGUUACAGUUAACUGCAGCUCAGUGUAAGGAAGAAACUCAACAGUGGAGUCAUUUUGAGAGGGAAUAGGUUAUUCUGAAAAGUAGGGAGUUUCCCUUCCCUAUGGGAGUUGAAUCCAAGGUUGGAUCUUUUUU